Molecule: transfer RNA, 56 nt
Filed under: Hyphomicrobiales bacterium
Lineage: Bacteria; Pseudomonadati; Pseudomonadota; Alphaproteobacteria; Hyphomicrobiales
Description: Rhizobiales bacterium tRNA-Pro
Rfam family: tRNA
About the family: Transfer RNA (tRNA) molecules are approximately 80 nucleotides in length. Their secondary structure includes four short double-helical elements and three loops (D, anti-codon, and T loops). Further hydrogen bonds mediate the characteristic L-shaped molecular structure. tRNAs have two regions of fundamental functional importance: the anti-codon, which is responsible for specific mRNA codon recognition, and the 3' end, to which the tRNAs corresponding amino acid is attached (by aminoacyl-tRNA synthetases). tRNAs cope with the degeneracy of the genetic code in two manners: having more than one tRNA (with a specific anti-codon) for a particular amino acid; and 'wobble' base-pairing, i.e. permitting non-standard base-pairing at the 3rd anti-codon position.
Source: RNAcentral
UAGCUCAGCCUGGUAGAGCACCGGUUUUGGGAACCGGGGGUCGCAAGUUCGAAUCU